RNAcentral lists this ribosomal RNA (576 nucleotides) under [Candida] sp. JW01-7-11-1-2-y2. RNAcentral describes it as "eukaryotic LSU rRNA". It matches the Rfam family "Eukaryotic large subunit ribosomal RNA", at positions 40 to 638 of the family's 3401-position model. Lineage: Eukaryota; Fungi; Ascomycota; Saccharomycetes; Saccharomycetales. The record is from RNAcentral.
AUAUCAAUAAGCGGAGGAAAAGAAACCAACAGGGAUUGCCUUAGUAGCGGCGAGUGAAGCGGCAAGAGCUCAAAUUUGAAAUCUGGUACCUUCGGUGCCCGAGUUGUAAUUUGAAGAAAGCUGUCUUGGAGUUGGCCUUUGUCUAUGUUCCUUGGAACAGGACGUCACAGAGGGUGAGAAUCCCGUGCGAUGAGGUGUCCAAUUCUUUAUAAGACGUUUUCGAAGAGUCGAGUUGUUUGGGAAUGCAGCUCAAAGUGGGUGGUAAAUUCCAUCUAAAGCUAAAUAUUGGCGAGAGACCGAUAGCGAACAAGUACUGUGAAGGAAAGAUGAAAAGAACUUUGAAAAGAGAGUGAAAAAGUACGUGAAAUUGUUGAAAGGGAAGGGUAUUCAAUCAGACUUGGUAUUUAGUUAUCAUUACUCCUUGUGGGUGGUGCUCUAGCUUUUUACUGGGCCAGCAUCAGUUUUGGUGGCAAGAUAAUCGCAGUUGAAUGUAGCUCCUAGAGUAUUAUAGCUUCUGUUGAUAUUGCCUACUGAGACUGAGGUCUGCGGCUUUGCCUAGGAUGCUGGCGUAAUGAU